UACGGAUGAUGCGAGCGUUAUCCGGAUUUAUUGGGUUUAAAGGGUGCGUAGGCGGGCUUUUAAGUCAGCGGUAAAAAUUCGGGGCUCAACCCCGUCCGGCCGUUGAAACUGGGGGCCUUGAGUGGGCGAGAAGAAGGCGGAAUGCGUGGUGUAGCGGUGAAAUGCAUAGAUAUCACGCAGAACCCCGAUUGCGAAGGCAGCCUUCCGGCGCCCUACUGACGCUGAGGCACGAAAGUGCGGGGAUCGAACAGG
RNAcentral lists this ribosomal RNA (252 nucleotides) under uncultured bacterium. Its description in RNAcentral is "partial 16S ribosomal RNA". It matches the Rfam family "Bacterial small subunit ribosomal RNA", at positions 524 to 776 of the family's 1533-position model. The record is from RNAcentral.